UAUUAUAUGAAGACAAAUUCUCUAUGUUACCGUCUCUGGAAGUUGUGCGUUUGUUGCUGCAUUCUUUUUCGUCUGGAGAUAAACUAUUAAACUACUCUCUGAUCUAUGCAUUUGUUUUUAUGCAGCUCAAAGAGAGAAGAUAAGUGAAGCUAAUCAAGGCUCCAAACAAGGACAGCAGCUGUAGUGUCAGGAAAUGCCAUAGUUCUGAGUUUUAAAUCGAGGGUCUUUUGCCAUUCAGUAUAGGGCCUUGGAUUACAAGUUGUGAAAUAUUUGGCUGCCAAAUAUGAAGAGCUAGGGUGUGAAGUGAAAUGGAUGGGCAAGCCUGAUAAGCUGAUCUAGUCACAUUGGUCUGGUUACCGCUGUUAACUUCACUUCAUGUGAACCUUUAGCUUAAUACAUAUUUCUCUUGCACUUGACUACCAAGAUGAAUUUUGAGCAAGGCUACUUUUUGCUUUGAAGCAAAGUUUGGUGUAGAAAUUUUGUAGAUUGUUGCUCAUAUGUUUCUAGGCUAUCCUUUGUAGGUUUUGGGGUUUUCUUUUGUGACAUAUGUUCAAUCAUGAAUUUGGAAAGAAAAUUAAUGGAAAGCCCCAAUUUUUGGAU
Rosa chinensis is the source of this 600-nucleotide long non-coding RNA. RefSeq lists it as uncharacterized. The transcript has 4 exons. NCBI's taxonomy places the organism in Eukaryota, Viridiplantae, Streptophyta, Magnoliopsida, Rosales, Rosaceae. The record is from RefSeq and is a predicted model, not a curated record.